Molecule: ribosomal RNA, 1107 nt
Filed under: Salmonella enterica
Lineage: Bacteria; Pseudomonadati; Pseudomonadota; Gammaproteobacteria; Enterobacterales; Enterobacteriaceae
Also listed under: 1 other name
Description: partial 16S ribosomal RNA
Rfam family: Bacterial small subunit ribosomal RNA
Source: RNAcentral
AAAUUGAAGAGUUUGAUCAUGGCUCAGAUUGAACGCUGGCGGCAGGCCUAACACAUGCAAGUCGAACGGUAGCACAGAGAGCUUGCUCUCGGGUGACGAGUGGCGGACGGGUGAGUAAUGUCUGGGAAACUGCCCGAUGGAGGGGGAUAACUACUGGAAACGGUAGCUAAUACCGCAUAACGUCGCAAGACCAAAGUGGGGGACCUUCGGGCCUCACACCAUCGGAUGUGCCCAGAUGGGAUUAGCUAGUAGGUGGGGUAACGGCUCACCUAGGCGACGAUCCCUAGCUGGUCUGAGAGGAUGACCAGCCACACUGGAACUGAGACACGGUCCAGACUCCUACGGGAGGCAGCAGUGGGGAAUAUUGCACAAUGGGCGCAAGCCUGAUGCAGCCAUGCCGCGUGUAUGAAGAAGGCCUUCGGGUUGUAAAGUACUUUCAGCGAGGAGGAAGGCGUUGUGGUUAAUAACCACAGCGAUUGACGUUACUCGCAGAAGAAGCACCGGCUAACUCCGUGCCAGCAGCCGCGGUAAUACGGAGGGUGCAAGCGUUAAUCGGAAUUACUGGGCGUAAAGCGCACGCAGGCGGUUUGUUAAGUCAGAUGUGAAAUCCCCGGGCUCAACCUGGGAACUGCAUUUGAAACUGGCAAGCUUGAGUCUCGUAGAGGGGGGUAGAAUUCCAGGUGUAGCGGUGAAAUGCGUAGAGAUCUGGAGGAAUACCGGUGGCGAAGGCGGCCCCCUGGACAAAGACUGACGCUCAGGUGCGAAAGCGUGGGGAGCAAACAGGAUUAGAUACCCUGGUAGUCCACGCCGUAAACGAUGUCUACUUGGAGGUUGUGCCCUUGAGGCGUGGCUUCCGGAGCUAACGCGUUAAGUAGACCGCCUGGGGAGUACGGCCGCAAGGUUAAAACUCAAAUGAAUUGACGGGGGCCCGCACAAGCGGUGGAGCAUGUGGUUUAAUUCGAUGCAACGCGAAGAACCUUACCUGGUCUUGACAUCCACGGAAGUUUUCAGAGAUGAGAAUGUGCCUUCGGGAACCGUGAGACAGGUGCUGCAUGGCUGUCGUCAGCUCGUGUUGUGAAAUGUUGGGUUAAGUCCCGCAACGAGCGC